UUUCCGUAGGUGAACCUGCGGAAGGAUCAUUAUUGUAUAACCGAGGUGCGAGGGCUGUCGCUGACCCGAAAGGUCGUGCACGCCCGAGUGCCCUCACACACAUCCAUCUCACCCCUAUGUGCACCACCGCGUGGGUCCACCUUUGGCUUGUUCGGAGGGGGGCUUACGUUUUCACACAAACUUUGUAUGCAGUGUAGAAUGUAUUUUUUGUUUUUGCGAUCACGCAAGCAAUACAACUUUCAACAACGGAUCUCUUGGCUCUC
RNAcentral lists this unclassified non-coding RNA (263 nucleotides) under plant metagenome. RNAcentral's name for it is "partial contains small subunit ribosomal RNA, internal transcribed spacer 1, and 5.8S ribosomal RNA". The record is from RNAcentral.